GCACCUCAGUACAACCCUGUUGAUUCUGUUUGACGAGGGUCCUUGUUGGUGCCAGAGAGACUCAAAGUGAAUCCAGAUGGAUCUCUUCUGUUGGAAUCUGUCUCUACUACUUUGAUACACAA
Molecule: small nucleolar RNA, 122 nt
Organism: Nematolebias whitei (Rio pearlfish)
Lineage: Eukaryota; Metazoa; Chordata; Actinopteri; Cyprinodontiformes; Rivulidae
Product: small nucleolar RNA SNORA55
Exons: 1
Source: RefSeq, a predicted model, not a curated record